Molecule: long non-coding RNA, 745 nt
Organism: Strigops habroptila (Kakapo)
Lineage: Eukaryota; Metazoa; Chordata; Aves; Psittaciformes; Psittacidae
Exons: 13
Source: RefSeq, a predicted model, not a curated record
CGCGUGUGACGGGCGCCGCCGCUAUAUAAAGGGCGCGCAGGGACCGUGCGGGUCUUUUUUGCCCGCCGCGCUGGCGCGGGGGGGAGGCGAGUGCUGUGUUGUGCCGUUCAGGAUGCACCACUUACAUACACCCUUUUCUCUUACGGCUUUGAAACAGAUCUGCCACAGAAUAAAGAGACUUGAUGCUACUACAAAAGGGUUUGAGUCCUGUACUUGGAAAACUUGCAGAAGAAAUGUCACCUGGUACUGGGAGAUGAAGCUGUAAGCUGUGCAAGGCUGCCCUUGAUGGAGGAUACCUGUGCCUGCAGUGAGAAGCUAUUUCACAGUUACUAGUGCUGGUGAAGACAAGGCCUUCCUAAUUGAAGGCUUCCAAAGUUUCCCAUUGCAAUGGCUGCUGCGGUGAAGCUGUGAGACAGUGCUGUUGGUAGUCUGCCAGCAAAAAUUUGAGAAUGGGAGAACUACUGGAUGCUUUGUGGCAGGUGAUUCUUACUUGAGUGAAGCUCAUGGGGAGUUCGUGUGAGAAACAAGACUAAUUCAUGUCUGAGGAAAGGACUGUGCCAUCUGCACCCUCAUUGGGUGAGGAGGCAACUACGAAACUGCUGUAUGAAGAACUGAGAAGGUGGAAGAUUGCAGAAUAAUGGGUUACACUUGUAUGAACAGCACUAAAAAAGCCCAAGAGUUCUUUUACCACACCAGUAAUGUUUGACUGAUACUGAUUGGUACCAAUAAAAAUUUGUAAAAUCUA